UAGGGAAUCUUCCGCAAUGGGCGAAAGCCUGACGGAGCAACGCCGCGUGAGUGAUGAAGGUCUUCGGAUCGUAAAACUCUGUUAUUAGGGAAGAACAAAUGUGUAAGUAACUAUGCACGUCUUGACGGUACCUAAUCAGAAAGCCACGGCUAACUACGUGCCAGCAGCCGCGGUAAUACGUAGGUGGCAAGCGUUAUCCGGAAUUAUUGGGCGUAAAGCGCGCGUAGGCGGUUUUUUAAGUCUGAUGUGAAAGCCCACGGCUCAACCGUGGAGGGUCAUUGGAAACUGGAAAACUUGAGUGCAGAAGAGGAAAGUGGAAUUCCAUGUGUGGCGGUGAAAUGCGCAGCGAUAUGGAGGAACACCAGUGGCGAAGGCGACUUUCUGGUCUGUAACUGACGCUGAUGUGCGAAAGCGUGGGAAUCAAACAGG
Molecule: ribosomal RNA, 429 nt
Filed under: Bacteroidota bacterium
Lineage: Bacteria; Pseudomonadati; Bacteroidota
Description: Bacteroidetes bacterium partial 16S ribosomal RNA
Rfam family: Bacterial small subunit ribosomal RNA
Source: RNAcentral